CGGACGGGUGAGUAACGCGUGGAAAACCUGCCGUAUACUGGGGGAUAACACUUAGAAAUAGGUGCUAAUACCGCAUAAGCGCACAGCUUCGCAUGAAGCGGUGUGAAAAACUCUGGUGGUAUACGAUGGUUCCGCGUCUGAUUAGCUAGUUGGUGGGGUAAUGGCCUACCAAGGCAAUGAUCAGUAGCCGGCCUGAGAGGGUGAACGGCCACAUUGGGACUGAGACACGGCCCAAACUCCUACGGGAGGCAGCAG
This 255-nucleotide ribosomal RNA is filed under the name uncultured bacterium. Its description in RNAcentral is "partial 16S ribosomal RNA". It matches the Rfam family "Bacterial small subunit ribosomal RNA", at positions 99 to 354 of the family's 1533-position model. The record is from RNAcentral.